Molecule: unclassified non-coding RNA, 274 nt
Filed under: Hevea brasiliensis (rubber tree)
Lineage: Eukaryota; Viridiplantae; Streptophyta; Magnoliopsida; Malpighiales; Euphorbiaceae
Source: RNAcentral
GUUCUCAGCGGUGGAUUCUUACAUGGGCGGGUGGGUGGUGAAGGAGCUGAGGGUUUCUAUGACUGUGAGGGACUUGAUGUUUGAUUUAAGGUAGGUGGGUUCAGAGCACGGCGGCGGUUGCCAAGAGUUCCGUGCGUGCGACAAAGUGUCCAUUGGGCUUCCGACGAGUGCUGGAUCGGGGAACUUGAACGGUGGAGCAACGGNNNNNNNNNGAGUAAAAUUUAGGGUUUGAUCCUGUUAUCAUGACUACCUUGAAAUGUAAUUUCAUUUGGGG